UGAGGCAGGAGAAUUGCUUGAACCCAGGAGGUGGAGGUUGCAGUGAGCCAAGAUCCCGCCACUGCACUCCAGCCUGGGCGACAGAGCGAGACUCCAUCUC
Molecule: microRNA precursor, 100 nt
Filed under: Colobus angolensis palliatus
Lineage: Eukaryota; Metazoa; Chordata; Mammalia; Primates; Cercopithecidae
Description: miRNA (ENSCANG00000002422.1)
Source: RNAcentral